RNAcentral lists this long non-coding RNA (231 nucleotides) under Mytilus galloprovincialis (Mediterranean mussel). Lineage: Eukaryota; Metazoa; Mollusca; Bivalvia; Mytilida; Mytilidae. The record is from RNAcentral.
GUGGCUAAAUAACAUUUAUACUCUUGAAGCACAAAAAGCUUUGGUACUGGCUGUUUCCAAUCGAUAUAAAUGCCUAGUCCUAGAUACUUGUGAUGACGGAAUUCUGAGAAUCAUAGAGGAUUAGCAUUUUGCAACAAUUGACAUGCUUGGGCAGUGACAAAUAUUUGAAAUAUACACUUUCAUUAUGUUAAGAAUAUGAUGUCAAAAUUAUAUACUAGUAAUCAGUCAUGU